ACGGAAGGCAGCAGUGGGGAAUAUUGGGCAAUGGGCGCAAGCCUGACCCAGCAACGCCGCGUGAAGGAAGAAGGCUUUCGGGUUGUAAACUUCUUUUACCAGGGACGAAGGACGUGACGGUACCUGAAGAAAAAGCCACGGCUAACUACGUGCCAGCAGCCGCGGUAAUACGUAGGUGGCAAGUGUUGUCCGGAUUUACUGGGUGUAAAGGGCGUGUAGGCGGAGAUGCAAGUCAGGAGUGAAAUCUAUGGGCUCAACCCAUAAACUGCUUUUGAAACUGCAUCCCUUGAGUAUCGGAGAGGCAGGCGGAAUUCCUAGUGUAGCGGUGAAAUGCGUAGAUAUUAGGAGGAACACCAGUGGCGAAGGCGGCCUGCUGGACGACAACUGACGCUGAGGCGCGAAAGCGUGGGGAGCAAACAGGAUUAGAUACCCUGGUA
Molecule: ribosomal RNA, 437 nt
Filed under: uncultured Oscillospiraceae bacterium
Lineage: Bacteria; Bacillati; Bacillota; Clostridia; Eubacteriales; Oscillospiraceae
Description: partial 16S ribosomal RNA
Rfam family: Bacterial small subunit ribosomal RNA
Source: RNAcentral